RNAcentral lists this non-coding RNA (83 nucleotides) under Entomomonas moraniae. Its description in RNAcentral is "Glycine riboswitch". The stretch from base 6 to 78 matches the Rfam family "Glycine riboswitch aptamer", at positions 11 to 84 of the family's 94-position model. Rfam says of the family: This family represents the bacterial glycine riboswitch. Glycine riboswitches usually consist of two metabolite-binding aptamers domains with similar structures in tandem. The aptamers cooperatively bind glycine to regulate the expression of downstream genes. The record is from RNAcentral. Lineage: Bacteria; Pseudomonadati; Pseudomonadota; Gammaproteobacteria; Pseudomonadales; Pseudomonadaceae.
CCGAUCUGGAGAGAGAUCUUAAUUGAUCCGCCGAAGGGGCACGCAGCAAAGCUGCUAAACUCUCAGGCAAAAGGACAGCGGGA